AUCACCUGCAGGCGGCCCGGGGGCCUGGGGCGGCUGCCAGCUGCCCUCCUGGAACGCGGCUCCUGCAGGACUUCCCGAAGGCUGCUCUCCGCCGGCUCCAGGAGCUUCCUGGGGCAAACCCGGAGCAGGUUAGAGGAAAAAGCGCCCUACCCUAGACCCUCGUUUGCACCAAAAGUUCUCCCUCCGAGCCAUUGCAAGAAGCUCCACCUUCCCACAUCAAUUCACAUCAUGACCACUCCGUUUCAUAAUCCGCGGCAGCCUGAGUUCUUACAGGGGUGGAGCCCCCAGCUGAAAUCACAACCAUCGCAUGGGGCAGGAUGUCAGGGAAGUUUCCAGAAAUCCCCGGUCAGAGCCUUUCUGCUGGAGUAACCAAAGUUAACACCGCUGAAUUACAAUCGCCGGUGACUGCACGACUGAAGCAUUUCCUUUAUACCUUCUCCCGCUCCCCUACCCCUCCCACCUUCUGUGGGGUUCAGUCAACAAGCCCUCCCCCAGGAGGCCUGAGUGGGCCUGGGCCCUGCAGCCAUCGCUCCAGCUGCAAACUGAUGAGGAAGCCCGACCCACGAGGCCGAAUUGUUUACAUCACACCCACUGAGGCUUCCUGUCUUAAAUUAAUGGGAACACAAAUAAGACAGGAAAAGAGUGUUUGCUUUUCUUAAAGCAGGGGAGGGGGGCUGGCAGCGGGAGGGGGAGUCACCCCACAUUUCAUUGCUUUUCAAAACGUCAGCUGUAUUCUCUUCCAUUUUUCCACUCCUGACACUUGUUGAAAAGUAAAAGCGUCGCUGGUGCCAAACCUCAAGCCUUUAUGGAACGUCUGCUCAAAACACAUUUCACCUGGCUUCAAAAGGCAUCCAGGGUGGAGCUCCCAGGAACCUGAGCUAGAGGAAUGGAGAGCUCCUGAGGUUGAUGGCACCAAUCUCAGUGCAAACAAACUCACUCAAGCCCUGGGCCUCCCUCCCGGGACUUGCACAGGCAGGCACACACUCCACUCCUUGGGGUUCAUGUUAGAGUCACACCCCAGUCCCACUCCACCCCUCUGGCUCUAAGCUCUGGUUGUGGGCAUCCAGCAGCCCCUAAAAGUAAAUGAGCUUUGCAACGGACAGAUCUGGUGGAAUUCGAAGCAAUUAAUUAUAAUGGAGGAGGCAAAAGAAAGCUUCAAUUCCAGUACCAUUACUGCCACCGGAAUGGGUAAUUAAAGCCCAGGAGGGGCCAACCCAUGUCAAGCCUGGGCUGGAAAUCUGCCCACUCUCAGAAGCAGCCCCAGAGCACAUAGUAAAUAAUUAUCAUCAUUACCAGUCCUGGAAUUACCCCUAGUUGCUUCAUUCAGGUCGGCACAACAGCCAACCCAGAAACAGGCAAGGAGUGUCAGGUCAUGGUAUUCCUCCUUCGGAAGAACCAAAAGGAAACAGAACCCCAGGAUAAGAUUUAUUUCAAGAAGUUUUGGGUACUGCAACCAACAAUACCUCAUGGAGUUUAGGAGAACACUACAUGUGCCCAGUGAGAACAAACUUUGUAGACCAGUCCUCCAAACAUCGCAAUUCCUGGGUCAAAGCAAAUUAGGCUGAUGAUUUCAGAAAAAAUCAAGGGUAUUAGAACUCUCUAACACAAAGUGUCUGGCUUACACAUAUUAUAAGGGUCUCAGUGAAUGUUGGCUCCACCCCCUUCCCUUUUCCCACUCUUCUGCCAGGAAGUGGCAGUCUUUCAUUAGCAUCCUAUACGUUUUAUGGGAAUUAAGUUCAAAUUGAAUAAUUUUCUAAUAAUAAUUAGAGAAGUA
Molecule: long non-coding RNA, 1774 nt
Organism: Gorilla gorilla gorilla (western lowland gorilla)
Lineage: Eukaryota; Metazoa; Chordata; Mammalia; Primates; Hominidae
Exons: 2
Source: RefSeq, a predicted model, not a curated record